This 515-nucleotide ribosomal RNA is filed under the name Lactobacillus sp. oral taxon A89. Its description in RNAcentral is "bacterial SSU rRNA". It matches the Rfam family "Bacterial small subunit ribosomal RNA", at positions 28 to 499 of the family's 1533-position model. Lineage: Bacteria; Bacillati; Bacillota; Bacilli; Lactobacillales; Lactobacillaceae. The record is from RNAcentral.
GAUGAACGCUGGCGGUGUGCCUAAUACAUGCAAGUCGAACGCGUUGGCCCAAUUGAUUGAUGGUGCUUGCACCUGAUUGAUUUUGGUCGCCAACGAGUGGCGGACGGGUGAGUAACACGUAGGUAACCUGCCCAGAAGCGGGGGACAACAUUUGGAAACAGAUGCUAAUACCGCAUAACAGCGUUGUUCGCAUGAACAACGCUUAAAAGAUGGCUUCUCGCUAUCACCUCUGGAUGGACCUGCGGUGCAUUAGCUUGUUGGUGGGGUAAUGGCCUACCAAGGCGAUGAUGCAUAGCCGAGUUGAGAGACUGAUCGGCCACAAUGGGACUGAGACACGGCCCAUACUCCUACGGGAGGCAGCAGUAGGGAAUCUUCCACAAUGGGCGCAAGCCUGAUGGAGCAACACCGCGUGAGUGAAGAAGGGUUUCGGCUCGUAAAGCUCUGUUGUUAAAGAAGAACACGUAUGAGAGUAACUGUUCAUACGUUGACGGUAUUUAACCAGGAAGUCACGGCUA